CAGCAGCCGCGGGAAUACGAAGGGGGCUAGCGUUGCUCGGAAUGACUGGGCGUAAAGGGCGCGUAGGCGGAUGGCACAGUCAGAUGUGAAAUUCCCGGGCUUAACCUGGGGGCUGCAUUUGAUACGUGUUGUCUAGAGUGAGGAAGAGGGUCGUGGAAUUCCCAGUGUAGAGGUGAAAUUCGUAGAUAUUGGGAAGAACACCGGUGGCGAAGGCGGCGACCUGGUCCUUUACUGACGCUGAGGCGCGAAAGCGUGGGGAGCAAACAGGAUUAGAUACCCGGGUAGUCCCUGUCUCUUAUAA
This 301-nucleotide ribosomal RNA is filed under the name uncultured bacterium. RNAcentral describes it as "partial 16S ribosomal RNA". It matches the Rfam family "Bacterial small subunit ribosomal RNA", at positions 509 to 809 of the family's 1533-position model. The record is from RNAcentral.